GAGGUAGUGACAAGAAAUAACAAUACAGGGCAUCCAUGUCUUGUAAUUGGAAUGGAUAGAAUUUAAAUCCCUUUAUGAGUAUCGAUUGGAGGGCAAGUCUGGUGCCAGCAGCCGCGGUAAUUCCAGCUCCAAUAGCGUAUAUUAAAGUUGUUGCAGUUAAAAAGCUCGUAGCUGGAUUUCUGGCAGGGGGCAACAGCCCGCUUGCAGCGUGUGCUUGCCGUCCCCUACCAUCCUUCUGUUAACGCGCCAGGACAUUCACUUGUCGGGCGCGGGCUCAGAUAAUUUACCUUGAGAAAAUUAGAGUGUUUCAGGCAGGCUGACGCCGGGAUACAUUAGCAUGGAAUAAUGGAAUAGGACUUUCGCCUCUUCUGUUGGUCUGAGGGGUGAUCGUAAUGAUUAAUAGGGAUAGUUGGGGGCAUUAGUACUUAACUGUCAGAGGUGAAAUUCUCGGAUUUGUUAGGGACUAACUUAUGCGAAAGCAUUUGCCAAGGAUGUUUUCAUUAAUCAAGAACGAAAGUUAGGGGAUCAAAGACGAUCAGAUACCGUCCUAGUCUUAACCAUAAACUAUGCCGACUCGGGAUCGGGGGCGAGAGUUAUCCGCCUUCGGCACCGUAUGAGAAAUCAAAGUCUUUGGGUUCCGGGGGGAGUAUGGUCGCAAGGCUGAAAUCCAUAUGACUAGU
This 680-nucleotide ribosomal RNA is filed under the name uncultured ciliate. RNAcentral's name for it is "bacterial SSU rRNA". It matches the Rfam family "Eukaryotic small subunit ribosomal RNA", at positions 461 to 1156 of the family's 1831-position model. Lineage: Eukaryota; Ciliophora. The record is from RNAcentral.